RNAcentral lists this unclassified non-coding RNA (900 nucleotides) under Athalia rosae (coleseed sawfly). RNAcentral's name for it is "misc RNA ENSAEAG00005011434.1". The record is from RNAcentral. Lineage: Eukaryota; Metazoa; Arthropoda; Insecta; Hymenoptera; Athaliidae.
UCCAGGACCAGAGGAAAAUGCGGCAUUUGACAAAUUAAUUUAAAAAACGAAGAAACAAGGAAAAGUUAGGGAACAAUUCUGGAAUGGGUGCAUACUGAUGGUCUCUCCACGCGCAAAUGACGUUUGCAGGUAACCCCCAGAUCAGGGAAAAUUGAGAGAACUUAUACAAUUUAUAAUCUUUAACGCGUGAUAUUUGAGGACAUGCACAAAGUUCAGUGUACUGUGCUCUCCUCCUUAAAUCUUGGAACAUUUUCCGAAAGAUCGUACAGAAAACAACAACUUCGUGUCUGGUAUGCUUGGAGCCUCACAGGUUACCUGCAUCCCGGAGGCCUCCUUACAGCUCUGUGCAACAUGGUGCAACUAUCUAUUCGCUCAGUCAAACCAAGGAAAUUUUUUUUUACACUUAGAGGACACGGAGCAAACAGGACCCAUACCAAAUGCUACUGGUAAACUGAAGAGAAUCUAUCGAGGGCUGGAAUCAUCCCGCACAAAGACCCGACAAGAGGUAGACCUGUAGGCUCUUACUUUCAAUCGCAACGUCUGGAAUUGUAUAAGUAUCUAUUCCAAUAUCUGCUAGUUUUAAUCCACCUUUCACAUUGUUUGAGACGUCUAUCUUUUGUAGCAAGCAGGUUCAAGAAGUUUUCCUCCAAAAAUCGUUAAGGCUUAGCAUGAUCUCUAUUGUGGUUUCAGUUUUGUAUUUGGUAUACAGGGAUGCUGAAAUCAAACAAUCGUAGAGCCACUCAGAGAAGGAGACUGCGGCGAUGAGGUUGUACUGGAGGAACAAUUGCCGCCUCUCCUUCAACCCAGAGAUUUGAUUCGCAAAAUCCCAAAUGGAGGAUGAUGAACCGAUUUCUGUGCGCUAUUUAUCUACUAUCAUCAAUGCCUGGUGGAAAAAGUCUG